CCCUUAGAUGUCCUGGGCUGCACGCGCGCUACUCUGAUGUGUCCAGUAAGCACCUAACCUCUUCCGAAAGGAACGGGUAACCUUUGCAAAGCACAUCGUGAUGGGGAUAGAUUAUUGCAAUUAUUAGUCUUGAACGAGGAAUUCCUAGUAAGCACAAGUCAUCAGCUUGUGUUGAUUACGUCCCUGCCCUUUGUACACACCGCCCGUCGCUCCUACCGAUUGAAUGUUCCGGUGAGCUCUUCGGACUGCGCGGUCUGCAGUUUCUGCGUUCCGUGCGGAAAGUUGCGCAAACCUUAACAUUUAGAGGAAGGAGAAGUCGUAACA
This 324-nucleotide ribosomal RNA is filed under the name uncultured eukaryote. Its description in RNAcentral is "partial 18S ribosomal RNA". It matches the Rfam family "Eukaryotic small subunit ribosomal RNA", at positions 1470 to 1796 of the family's 1831-position model. The record is from RNAcentral.